GUUCUUUGGAACAGGACGUCACAGAGGGUGAGAAUCCCGUACGUGGUCGCUAGCCCUCACCGUGUAAAGGCCCCUUCGACGAGUCGAGUUGUUUGGGAAUGCAGCUCUAAAUGGGAGGNAAAUUUCUUCUAAAGCUAAAUACUGGCCAGAGACCGAUAGCGCACAAGUAGAGUGAUCGAAAGAUGAAAAGCACUUUGGAAAGAGAGUCAAAUAGCACGUGAAAUUGUUGAAAGGGAAGCGCUUGCAGCCAGACUUGCCUGUAGUUGCUUAUCCGGACUUUUGUCCGGGGGCACUCUUCUGCGGGGGAGGCCAG
Molecule: ribosomal RNA, 313 nt
Filed under: soil fungal sp. DM045
Lineage: Eukaryota; Fungi
Description: eukaryotic LSU rRNA
Rfam family: Eukaryotic large subunit ribosomal RNA
Source: RNAcentral